Molecule: long non-coding RNA, 210 nt
Organism: Phyllostomus discolor (pale spear-nosed bat)
Lineage: Eukaryota; Metazoa; Chordata; Mammalia; Chiroptera; Phyllostomidae
Exons: 3
Source: RefSeq, a predicted model, not a curated record
AAGAGAGACUUAGAUUUUGUAACCUUUAAUGAUCAUGGCUCUGCAGACAAGACUGGCAUUCAGAAAUACCAUACUGUGAAUGGCCGGGACUGUGAAGUAUGGAAAGCCCUUUCUCCCAUUCAAGUACUAACCAGGCCCGACCCUGCUUAGCUUUCCAGAUCAGAUGAGAUCGGGCACGUUCAGGGUGGCAUGGCAUUAAGAACAAAAUAG